ACCCGUAUAAGGGGAAGUCUAUAGCUUUUCAGAGAAAGCUUUUCUUCUAAGAUAAAAGGAGAGCAGAAACAGCCUUGGACCUCUGCCUCGCUUUCCCCCUGGAAGGCAACCAUGAAGCCUGGAGCCCCUGGCUCCAUCUUAGAGAGGACCACGAGAGAAGGUUUAAGAGCAUUCCAUAGAUGCCAACCCAGUGCUCGGACAUGGUUUAAUGGCUGCCCGAGUGCUGGAAGGUCUGUCUAUAAAUUUCUUGAGAUAUUAAGCCUUUGAUGGCUAGGCUUUGCUCCUUGCAGCUAAAUGCUUCUUAAUGAGAUAUGAUGAGACUUGAGAAAGGGCCUUGAUUUACUCAUGAUCUCAUUCCUAACUUCCCACAUAUGGGAUCUGUGGCUAUCUGUGACAACGCUGACGGGGUGCUCUAACCACGUUUUGUGUUCUUACACGCUAACAUGGGGAGUCAAGAAGGCCAUGCCAACGAUUAACUCAGAUCAGGCCCGUCUCAGUUAAAUCUUUCAAAUUUCAGGAUGACCGAGAUGUCCAUCAUUUCUCUUGUCUGAGGUUUACCAUCUUUAAUUAACUUGUCUGAUGGUCAGUGGUCUAAUUCUGUUCCCCAGAUCUACUCUUUGGGAGAAGUGCCAUAUUUAGAAACAGCGUCUAUCCGUGUUGCUUCACAACCAUAUUUUUUUUUAAUUCCUGGGUUUGUAUGGGCAUAGCUAGCAGAGAUGCCAAACGAACUCAUGGAAAACAUAUUCUUAUCUAAAGGAUAUCUUUUGGUAUCUUGUCAUGAGCUUUUUAGGGGGAGUCUACCGUAAACUGUGAAAGUCAUUUUGAUGACAGAAGGUUUGGCGAGGUCUUUUAAAAUAAGAAAACUGAUUUCCAGGCAGUAAAGCAUCGCCCCUUUGUCAAUGUGCAAGUCCAGCUUGCAUUCCACCCACAGGGUUGCGGACACACACACCUAAAAACUCAUACAUAAUCUGAAAUCAAGUGCAUCAACAAAGGAACUUUUAAAACAAUGACCCACGUAAAGAUUUUAGUCAGAUAUGCAGUGUUAAUACUCACCCCAAUUUUACCAGCUAGAAUGACCUAGACUUAAUAUCCCCCUUAUCUGACAACAUGUGACAACAGGUAUUUCAUACUCAAACCCUGCCAGGAACGUGGGGCAGAAAUAUUGCCCUGGAUACCAGGACUUUGAACCUAGUCCUCCUUCUGCCAUGAAUUCACCCUGAUAUUUAGCAAGUCCCUUCCCCUUUCUGAGCUUUAGCUUAUUUUUUUAUUUUUUUUGGUCUAAAAAGAUGAAUUGGACCAGAUGCUCUUAAAGGCUCCAUCCUGCUUUCAGAUUCUCCAGCAUAGGAAGUAGAUAAACAAAAAGAAAUGUUGCCCUCUUUCUGUUAGAAGAUGCCUUGUAUAGCUGAGACAUGGCAGUAUUUGGAAUGCCAAUAUUUACCGAGAACUUAGCUAUAUGCCAGGCGCUAGACCAUGAACAGCUUUUUGUGGAUUACCUCUUUUAUUACUUAAGCAUCAUCAUUCCCAUUUUGCCAAUAAGGAAACAGGUCUGAAGGGACCCCACGACUGCCAGGAUCACAUAAAUGAGAGGAGAGAGCCUAGGUCCCAAAAUCCAUCCUCCUCUCCAUCCCACCACCCUAUAUCCAUAAAGAAUGUAGCGAGGUUCCAGAGGUACUCAAAACAACAUAUGAGCUUAAUUGUAGGAAAGGACAAGACUUAAACUUCUCUUUUUUUUUUUUUUUGCAUUUUUUAAUGAUUUUUAUUUUUUUCCAUUAGAGCUGAUGUACAGUGAAACUUCUCAUUUCUAUUUAAAAUUAAACAUACAUUUCAGUAAAAUGUAUGUGAUUUUUGGAGGCUGUGUCUUGGCCUUCCUUCUAGAGAAAGGGCAGAUAAGCAAAAAAUUAAUAAUAAUAAUCUGUUACAUCGGAUCAUAGGAGUCACGUGUGCUUUUACGGCCCGUCCCAUUUUGGGUUUUCACGAAUCGCUGUCACUGAAUCCCAUAAACAUCCCUUGCGUUUGCGAUAUUGUCGCACCUACAUGAAAGGUAUUGUUAAUACGCUGAGUCAAAACACACGUGCCCUCUGCAGGCUACGGUUUUGCUUUGAAAUCUCUGUAAUUAACACAUUCGCGUUUCAGGCACUGGGUAUUAUUGAGUGCAAAGAGACAAAGAUGUAUUUCAUCUUUUUUUUCUACUGAUGAUUCAUCACUUCCACUCCUCCCACCUCCAGAUGUCUACAUUUCAGUUUUCUGAGAGGCUACAAAGCCUGAAGUGGCAUCUGCGCCUUGAGUCAGAGGACACCAAGUGUUCAACUGAAACACCGCCAAGCGUUGGGUGUCAACUCUCUUAACCUGUUUUCCGGUGUAGGCGGCAUUAACAAUGCUCUUUGCCCUUGGGCUCUAAAAGGAAAAGACUCCAGUAACCCUACACCAGCAGCUCCACUUAAGUAACUAACUACCUGAUGCAGGGUUAUCUUUCCAGGCUGUCUGGGGAAGGGAGUGAAAACAUUCGCUUCUGUGUCCCUGGCAAGCUGGUUAAUGCUUGUCAAAGCAACAGCUCCCUGUUCCCCAAGCUCGGUCUCUGAUAUGUAUUUGAAUUUGCAAACUUGUGAUAACCAGAUAAUACCCAGUUGUGUGUUUACUAGUCUAGGAGGCAGCAGAAACACCAGCAGGUCCACUUAAAACACACGUGCACACACACACAGACACAAUCAGACAUGCAACAGCGAAAUAUUCUUUCACACUGCAGUGCCUUAGUUAACUUUCUAGGUGCGUCUACACAAAUUUGAAACACCACCUCCCUAGCAAUCCCUAGACAGUGAGUUUGGAAACUUCCUCCUCAAUAUUUUCUCUAUCGGUUCAAGUAAGUAGAUUCAUCAACAUUGUCUUGAUUUGCUCAAGCAAAAUAUAUCAAGCAUCCAGAGAGUCACUAAGGAUCUGGUUAAAAGAGCUAUAAGUACUUUUUUUUUUUAAACGGAUUAAGAUUGCCCCUGGCAAUCUUCUUGAGUCUUGACCAGUAGACGCAGCUAAUUAGGUUGAAUAUUCCAGAGAAAUGGAAGUCCCUGCAGAGAGAGAUAAUUCAAGCCAUUCCCGAUUUUGUAAUGAACAUUGUAAAAAAUGAUUUCUUCAUUAUGAGAGGAAGGGGCUGCUCCAAGGGGGUGGAAAUCCGCAAAAAGAGUGCUCCUCGGGUUUUGCAGAGGGAACAUUGUCAACAGUUAAAUAUCCUCGAUAUUUUAAAAACAUUCUUUGAGGAUCAAGCUGUCCAACUCUUCCCAGCCAUUCAUUUUUCAACCCAAGAUCAAAAGUGACAUUUUAAAAGAGGCACAUAAAGAAAGAGGAGAAGAAAUUUCUGCCGUUGAGCAAUUCCAAGGUCUCGUCAACUUGUAUAUAAAUGAGUUCUGUGUAUAAUCUCCCGCUCGUGUAUGACUCGGACCGGAGCUUUCUGCCAGGAAAUAUCUGUGGCCACCGUUAAACAGGAUAUGGCCCAUCUUGCCCGUGGCUCCGCUGGCUCCGAGCAGCACACAGUGCAUUUUUGUCCCGAGGUGGCGGCGGUAAAGUGCACCUUUAUUUGCUGGCUGCUAGUUGGGUUUGGAUGCCCGGUCACACUCUAAGCUGACCACUUUCUGAUGUGGAAUGCUCCCAGAAGAGAACACAGAACAGGCCGGCCUGAGGUCCUCCCCAGAACGCCAUGUAUUUCACUGCAGACAGCAACUCUGUUUCCUAGACAUAUCUGCCCUCCUGGAGACACAGUGGAGUAUAGCCAUCAUCCCCAGGCAGCCAAGUGAAUUCCAAGAGGCCCCGAGCAAACUUCCAAAGGUUCAAGUUACUUUUCCUCCUUGCUGGAUAAAAGAGCAUAUUCCAAGUCAAUCCAUGAGUCUAGGGUAGCCUUGCAUCCUAAGAAGUGGCACACUAUCUUUCUAUCUUUCAUUUGAAGUCAUUUUUAUAUCCACCCCAUGUCACUUGCCUCAUUAAGCAUGGAGACCGGAAAGCUGGUUGGCCUCUGGUCAUCUUUUGCCACACAAGGAUCACACCCUAAAUCUGAAUGCACACUGCCUUAGGCAAGUUAUAGGCACAUCCGACCCUCUCUGCCUACUGCACAAGUCCCAAUUCUUUUACUUAAAUUUGAAGAACCUUUACCAUCUUGCCUCAAACUAUCUAAUCCAUGCUGUCUUCUCACUGAUCCUAAACUUGUCAUACUUGUCCCUUCCUCCCUGCCCUUGUUCACCCAGUUUCUGACCUUUGACUUCAAAUGACUUCCUGCUCAGAGUUACUGAUAAUAUUUUUUGGAAUGCUGAAUAUGUGCCCAGUCCUGUGCUGGUCCCUUUGCAUAUUAUCUCACCUGUAUAAUGUGCCAGGAAGGUAAGUAUAUUUAUUCCUGUUAUACUAAACAGAAGACAGAGGCUUGGAGAUCAAAGCAGAUGCUGAGAUGCCUCACUAAGCACUGCCUCUCUUUUCAAGACUGAGAUAACUCAUUCUCCUUGCUGCUGAGGGAGUUGACUGCUGACUUCUCACACUUUCACCCCUUCCAGUUCCUGGAAGGGGGCUGCUGGUUCCUUCUCAGGGGCAGCCUACAUCUAUGUGACUUGGUAUAAGAGUGUAAGGGACUAGACCCCUUGACUCAAUUUGGGACACUUCUAUGGGACCAUCCCUUGUCCAGAGCACCCUGCAGGGUCAGCUAAGCCCUCUGGUGUUACUGCAUCAAGGCUUAACUUCUCCUCUGCCCAGCCUGCUCCCCGCCACCCCUCAUCAGCCUGGCUAUUGAGAGUACUUCCUGCUAAAUCUCCCACACACGGAUCCCAGAAUCUCAGAGUCUAGUUCGUGGGGAAUCCAGCUGGACAAGGAAGGUGGCUUUAUUUGCUCCAAACCAAGACUGAGUAAGUGAUAGACAAAUUUGGGAUUUUCACAUGACUCUGUUUCAAAGACUGUGUGCUUUUCUUUCUGCUGUUCCUUCCUCCAUCGAAUCACCACCCCUCUUUCCCUUCUCAGAUGGGCGGAAGCUCUUUCUCAAGCCUCUCCUAACUCCAGGCACCAGGAUGCUGACAUGCCACCAGAGGAAAAUGUGGCCUUGGGGAAUGUGAUUUUCUCUGCCUGCUCUUUUUAUCUUCACC
Molecule: long non-coding RNA, 5102 nt
Filed under: Sus scrofa (pig)
Lineage: Eukaryota; Metazoa; Chordata; Mammalia; Artiodactyla; Suidae
Description: lncRNA (ENSSSCG00040043063.1)
Source: RNAcentral